This 1236-nucleotide long non-coding RNA is filed under the name Homo sapiens (human). RNAcentral describes it as "HSALNT0369348". Lineage: Eukaryota; Metazoa; Chordata; Mammalia; Primates; Hominidae. The record is from RNAcentral.
ACAGCACCAUCACCAACUCAGAGGGAGGGAAGCAACCUUGAGUCAGCUCCCAGGCAGUAAUGAGUGUUCAAGGGAGAUAUAACUCUAAGGAAAAGGAUUGAGGUCAAGGAAUUAGAAGAAACAGAUGGAAGAAUCAUUUGAACCAUAUCCAGGUCUUUUGAAAAUGAUGAGACAGAAGAGAAAGCGAAAAUUGCUUCAGACAGUUUUGCUGAGAAAUUUGUCUCAGAUAAAUUUUGGAGUAAGGUCAGAGACCUAAGAUAAGAAAACCCCUAGGCAGAGGUGGGAAAAAAUAGAAAAAAGAAAACGAAAAGAGCAAAUACAUUCUUCCUUCCUAUCUUCCACUUGCCAGAGUAGCUUUACUAAGAUGCUGCCUGAUCAUUUCUCUCCAGACACUUUUGCCAAUGAUAUUAAUACUAUAAAGGAGCAUUUCUGGACUUGAUUCAUUAAUGAUUAGAAAGCUCGUAACAGAUUAGAUGACCAGGCUACAGUCUCACCUGCCAGGCAGUGCAGCUGCAGAUCUUGGCUGACCAUCAUGUCAGCACCUACUAUGUGCCAGUCACUGUGCCAGGAGUUGGAAAUAUGAGGAAGACCGUAAUUCUCAUAAUGAGAAUACAAGGAAGACCAUCUCUCAAGAAAGGAACAUCAUAAAACAUGUUUACUGUCAAGUCCUUGUCAUUAUCAAAAAUAUCUCCAGAUUGAUGUCAUUCUGAGAAAAGUGAUUUCAUACUGAAAAAAAUUCUACAAAAAUAGUAAAACUCUUCUUCUCAAUUUUCAGAACUUGGAUGGGGUUGGGGGCAGGUGCUUUCAUCUAUUUUCAUCUUGUCCUGGUAGAAAUUAUUUGCUUGAUUAACAUUUUGGUGGAGAAGUUCAGUCUCUAAGGCUACAGAUGAGAAGAUCAGUUACUGGAUGGGUUCCUAACUUCAAUGUCAAAUCCAAGAGCCUGAAAAUAAAGGAUGGAAAGAAAGGGAAACAAAGAAAAGUUAUCAGACAAUGUGAAGACAUUUUAUGGAGAGGAAGAAAGAGUGAGUGAGCACAGGAAAAAUCACAAAGCAGUAUAUGAAGAAAAGAAAGAGAUAACAGUUAUUAGUAAGUAAAGAGAUAAUUAAGAGAUAAUCCUUUCAGUGGCAUGAACACCAUAGUUUGUGACAUCACUGGUCAUUAAUGAUUUGUGAGAAGCAGUGUCUCAACUAUGUUUCUGUUACAUUAAUUAUACCCAAAAUAAAAUAUUUGCACACC